RNAcentral lists this ribosomal RNA (366 nucleotides) under uncultured eukaryote. RNAcentral describes it as "partial 18S ribosomal RNA". It matches the Rfam family "Eukaryotic small subunit ribosomal RNA", at positions 592 to 976 of the family's 1831-position model. The record is from RNAcentral.
CAAUAGCGUAUAUUAACGUUGUUGCAGUUAAAAAGCUCGUAGUUGGAUUUCUGGAGGGAGCGUCGGCCCGUAUUUAAGAGUGCGUGACGUCUCUGUCCAUCCUUGCGGGAAGGCACGGCAUUGAUUUGUUGUGUCGGAUCGCAUCAUUUACUGUGAAAAAAUUAGAGUGUUCAAAGCAGGCUUUCGCUUGAAUACAUUAGCAUGGAAUAAUAAGAUAGGACUUUGGUGCUAUUUUGUUGGUUGAGCCUAAAGUAAUGAUUAAUAGGGAUAGUUGGGGGCACCUGUAUUGCGUUGUCAGAGGUGAAAUUCUUGGAUUUACGCAAGACAAACAGCUGCGAAAGCGUCUGCCAAGGAUGGUUUCAUUAA